Micropterus salmoides (largemouth bass) is the source of this 401-nucleotide long non-coding RNA. RefSeq lists it as uncharacterized. NCBI's taxonomy places the organism in Eukaryota, Metazoa, Chordata, Actinopteri, Centrarchiformes, Centrarchidae. The record is from RefSeq and is a predicted model, not a curated record. The transcript is spliced from 2 exons.
GUAGUUUUGAGUUAUUUUCCCCUUGGGGCGUUUAUGGUGUGCUUGGUGUGUUUUGGUUUUUGUCUGUCCCUCUGUGUUCUGCUUCCUCCCUCAUGCUCUGCGGCUGCUGGUGGGCGUGGUUGCCUGAGCUCCUGUUGACGCACCUGAGACUCAUCCAUUUAAUCAGCACACCAGUGCCUCAGCCUACAAUCAACCCACCUUAAAAGACCAGCCCAACCUUCCAGUCCCUGCUGGAUUGUUGUACCACACACAUACCUGCCCAUGCCUGACUCGGAUUCCCUCCUGCGCCACGAAAACCCCUGAGCUCUGGAACCAGGACCACAUGCCCCUUGGAACAACCACCCAUCCCCAAGCCACACCUGUCUCUCUCUUGUGUUCAAUAAAUCCUUACACUGCUCAAA